Molecule: ribosomal RNA, 1203 nt
Filed under: Triticum aestivum (bread wheat)
Lineage: Eukaryota; Viridiplantae; Streptophyta; Magnoliopsida; Poales; Poaceae
Description: partial small subunit ribosomal RNA
Source: RNAcentral
AUGGAGGCGGCGGCCGAGUGCGCGGGCGGCGGCGGCGGCGGCGCCCUAAGGGAGGUCAAGAAGGAGGCCGGCGCCGGCGACGUGUUCCUCGUCGACGACCUCCUCGACCUGCCCUGCGACGACGACGAGGAGGAGGACGACGCGGCGGCGGCGGGGUUCGCCGACGGCGCCGCGGACUGUAGCGCCGGCGAGGCCGGGGGCGGCGGCGGCAACGCGUCGGCCGACUCGUCCACGGUCACCGCCGUCGACAGCUGCAGCAACUCCCUCUCCGGCGGCCUCGCCGACGGCGACUUCUCCGGCGGCCUCUGCGAGCCGUACGACCAGUUGGCGGAGCUGGAAUGGCUGUCCAACUACAUGGGCGACGACAACUUCCCCACCGAGGACCUCCGCAAGCUGCAGCUCAUCUCCGGCAUCCCCUCGGCGUCGUCCCAGACGGCCCCGCGCGCGCCCGCCGCGCCGGUGCAGCCUUGUGGCGGUGGUGGCGUCGGUACGGCCUUGUGGCGCUCGGAGGCGCACGCCGGGCAGGUGUCCGUGCCGGGCAAGGCGCGCAGCAAGCGGUCCCGCGUCGCGCCCUGCAACUGGUCCUCCCGCCUGCUCGUGCUCCCGCCGGCGCCGGCCUCGCCGCCCUCCCCGGCGUCCGCCGUCAUCUCGCCGUCCGAGUCCGGGACGGCGUUCCCGCUCUUCCCGAACAAGAAGCCCGCCAAGUCGUCCAAGAAGGAGGGGCCGGCCGCCCCCGCCAUGACCGCCGCCGAGGCCGCGGCCGCGGAGGGGCGGCGGUGCCUGCACUGCGAGACCGACAAGACCCCGCAGUGGAGGACGGGGCCGCUGGGGCCCAAGACGCUGUGCAACGCGUGCGGGGUGCGGUACAAGUCCGGGCGGCUGGUGCCGGAGUACCGGCCGGCGGCGAGCCCGACGUUCGUGCCGUCCAAGCAUUCCAACUCGCACCGCAAGGUGGUGGAGCUGCGGCGCCAGAAGGACACCCCGCAGCAGCAGCUCCUGCACCAUUCUCAGCACAAGCCGCCGCAGCAGCAGCUCCUGCACCAUUCUCAGCACCAGCCGCCGCAGCAGCAGCACCAGCUGGGGCCGGGCCUGGGGUUCCAGGUGCCGAGCCCGCUGCUGUUCGACGGGCCGCACCUGGGCGGCGGCGCGGACGAGUUCCUCAUCCGCAACCGCAUAGGCCCCGACCACCGGCAGCUCAUCUAG